AAUGAACGCUGGCGGCAGGCCUAACACAUGCAAGUCGAACGGAUCCUUCGGGAUUAGUGGCGGACGGGUGAGUAACGCGUGGGAACAUACCCAAAGGUACGGAAUAGCCUCGGGAAACUGGGAGUAAUACCGUAUGUGCUCGAAAGAGGAAAGAUUUAUCGCCUUUGGAUUGGCCCGCGUUGGAUUAGGUAGUUGGUGGGGUAAAGGCCUACCGAGCCGACGAUCCAUAGCUGGUUUGAGAGGAUGAUUAGCCACACUGGGACUGGGACACGGCCCAGACUCCUACGGAAGGCAGCAGUGGGGAAGCUUAGACAAUGGGGGAAACCCUAGUCGAGCCAUGCCGCGUGAUCGAUGAAGGCCUUAGGGUUGUAAAGAUCUUUCAGGUGGGAAGAUAAUGACUGUACCACCAGAAGAAGCCCCGGCUAACUCCGUGCCAGCCGCCGCAGUAA
This 449-nucleotide ribosomal RNA is filed under the name uncultured bacterium. RNAcentral's name for it is "partial 16S ribosomal RNA". It matches the Rfam family "Bacterial small subunit ribosomal RNA", at positions 29 to 523 of the family's 1533-position model. The record is from RNAcentral.